GGAUGUGGCUCAGUGGUAGAGAGCUUGCCUAGCAUGCAGAAGGCCCUGGGCUCAAUCCCCAGCAUCUCA
Molecule: transfer RNA, 69 nt
Filed under: Marmota monax (woodchuck)
Lineage: Eukaryota; Metazoa; Chordata; Mammalia; Rodentia; Sciuridae
Description: tRNA.Ala
Rfam family: tRNA
About the family: Transfer RNA (tRNA) molecules are approximately 80 nucleotides in length. Their secondary structure includes four short double-helical elements and three loops (D, anti-codon, and T loops). Further hydrogen bonds mediate the characteristic L-shaped molecular structure. tRNAs have two regions of fundamental functional importance: the anti-codon, which is responsible for specific mRNA codon recognition, and the 3' end, to which the tRNAs corresponding amino acid is attached (by aminoacyl-tRNA synthetases). tRNAs cope with the degeneracy of the genetic code in two manners: having more than one tRNA (with a specific anti-codon) for a particular amino acid; and 'wobble' base-pairing, i.e. permitting non-standard base-pairing at the 3rd anti-codon position.
Source: RNAcentral